CGCCCAACGUGGGGCCUAACCCACGACCCUGAGAUUGAGUCUCAUGUUCUACUGACUGAGCUAACUGGGC
Molecule: transfer RNA, 70 nt
Filed under: Cordylochernes scorpioides
Lineage: Eukaryota; Metazoa; Arthropoda; Arachnida; Pseudoscorpiones; Chernetidae
Description: tRNA-OTHER
Source: RNAcentral